RNAcentral lists this ribosomal RNA (1016 nucleotides) under Pseudocalanus moultoni. Its description in RNAcentral is "SSU rRNA". It matches the Rfam family "Eukaryotic small subunit ribosomal RNA", at positions 54 to 1071 of the family's 1831-position model. Lineage: Eukaryota; Metazoa; Arthropoda; Copepoda; Calanoida; Clausocalanidae. The record is from RNAcentral.
CAUGUCUAAGUACAAGCCUCACUAAGGUGAAACCGCGAAUGGCUCAUUAUAUCACACCUAAUCUACUGGAUAGUUAACAGUUACUUGGAUAACUGCGGUAAUUCUGGAGCUAAUACAUGCACAAAGCCCCAAACUUACGUGAGGGGCGCUUUUAUUAGAUCAAAACCAAUCGGCUUCGGCUGAACUCUUGGUGACUCUGAAUAACUUUGGGCUGAUCGCAUAGCCUAGCGCUGGCGACAUAUCCUCCGAAGGUGUGCCCUAUCAACUGUCGACUGUGGCAUAGACGCCCACAGUGGUUUUGACGGGUAACGGGGAAUCAGGGUUCGAUUCCGGAGAGGGAGCCUUAAAAACGGCUACCACAUCUAAGGAAGGCAGCAGGCACGCAAAUUACCCAAUGACCGAAGGUCGAGGUAGUGACGAAAAAUAACGAUACAGGACUCAUCUGAGGCCCUGUAAUCGGAAUGAGUACACUUUAAAACCGUCCCCGAGGAUCUAUUGGAGGGCAAGUCUGGUGCCAGCAGCCGCGGUAAUUCCAGCUCCAAUAGCGUAUAUUAAAGUUGUUGUGGUUAAAAAGCUCGUAGUUGGAUCUCGGCGGUCUGAGGGCGGUGGUCUUCAGAGAUCUACUGCCCUAUAGACCGUAGUUUUGCCAGAGGUCUCAGGGUGCUCUUAACCGAGUGUCUUGCGAUGCUGGCAGGUUUACUUUGAAAAAAUUAGAGUGCUCAAAGCAGGCUUUUACGCCUGAAUAUUCGUGCAUGGAAUAAUAGAAUAGGAAGUCGUUUCUAUUUUGUUGGUUUUCGGAAAUCGACUUAAUGAUUAAUAGGGACAGUCGGGGGCAUUUGUAUUCAAACGACAGAGGUGAAAUUCUUGGACCGUUUGAAGACAAACUACUGCGAAAGCAUUUGCCAAGAAUGUUUUCAUUAAUCAAGAACGAAAGUUAGAGGUUCGAAGGCGAUUAGAUACCGCCCUAGUUCUAACCAUAAACGAUGCCAGCUAGCGAUCUGCCGACGUUUUUUUUG